Molecule: long non-coding RNA, 1351 nt
Organism: Homo sapiens (human)
Lineage: Eukaryota; Metazoa; Chordata; Mammalia; Primates; Hominidae
Gene: VIM-AS1
Product: VIM antisense RNA 1
Source: Ensembl
CUCCUGGAAUGGGCACUGGUCCUCUUCAUCAUCUCAGGGAUAGAUUUUAAAAUAGAGCAUGCUUAAUAUACUUCAGAUGUCUGCAAGGGGAACAGCAGCAAAUACCACAGUCCCAUGACAGCAAAGCUCCCUUUGGAUGACAUAGAUUUAUUACUUAGUAGUAUAUUAUGUAUUGGCUGUCCCACAUUUUGAAAUUUAAUGGACUCGUGGUGAUCAGAAUAAAAGAAGCCUUCGAUGUGAGGCCCAGGCAUUGAGUACCAUGUGUGCGAUUCACAAGCCUUGGCAUCUGAACAAUUUUUUGGAAGGAUCCAUCAGGACAACACGUCGGGGGUGUACUAGUGAAGUGAUUUUCCAAAUGUGCUACUCAGACCUGUAGCAUCAGCAUCACCGGAUAAUUUGUUAGAAAUUCCAACUGUUAGGCCCCACUUUAGACCAACUGAAUGUGAAACUCUGGGAGUACGUGGGGCCCAGCAAUUUGUGUUUUUACAAGACUUACCAGGUGAUUCUGAGAACCACUGUGCUAGUGAAUUGUUCCUGUCUGUGGCCACGUAGAAUAAGAAAACCAUAGGGUUGGAAAAUGGGGAAACUGGUGAGUGUUCGCUUAUGAGGAAAUGAAGAAUAGAUAGAAAAGAAUUAGUUAACUUUUGGAAUUCAAAAGAGAAGCAGUUUGUAAAAGCCAGGAAUUUGAUUUGAAGGACUAAUUGCUUGCAGAAUCUUUGCUUUCUCAGAGAGGGGCAAUCCAGAUCACUAGGUUACCGUGAAAUAUGUUGGUAUGGCUCUAAAAUUCUAGAAUAAUCUCUCUAGUGAGAAAAGGCAUACCUUUCCAUAUUAGGACAAAACUUCAAAUCAGGUUUGUAAAAUCCUAUAAGAUUAUUGUAUCCCAUUGCCAUGGCCAACUUGUUUGUCUCUGGAGAUCCCAGUUUCUACAUCUGAAAACCAUAUGCAUUCCUGCUCACCAGGAAUUAUCUCGCUGAAUGAAGCAAGAGAUUCAGGAUGUGUAAGAGAAUUUAUGAAGCAUUUGGAUUACCAAGAAAUGUGAAGUAUAAAGAUCAAGAAUGAUUAUUACAAACACUGAUGGUAAAGAGGUGUUUCGAAGUCGAUGCAAAAAAUGAGUUGCUUAUUUCAGUCUCUCUUUGAUAUAUCUGCCUUUUUAGUGCUGACUCUAUCAUGUAUUCACUAUUUGAUUUUCAGUGAAUCACAUUUUUUAAAGCUUUUAAUCUGUUUCCUCAAAAAAUAUAUUUUUUAAAAAUAUUUACUCAGGAUUGUUGUGAGAAUAAAAUUGAUUCGAUUGAUAUUUCAAAAAAGAAAUAUAUUUUUAAAAAAUAAAGCAAUACCAUUUUUGGAUAUGCUA